This 253-nucleotide ribosomal RNA is filed under the name uncultured bacterium. Its description in RNAcentral is "partial 16S ribosomal RNA". It matches the Rfam family "Bacterial small subunit ribosomal RNA", at positions 524 to 776 of the family's 1533-position model. The record is from RNAcentral.
UACGUAGGGUGCGAGCGUUAAUCGGAAUUACUGGGCGUAAAGCGUGCGCAGGCGGUUCGUUGUGUCGGCGGUGAAAGCCCCGGGCUUAACCUGGGAACGGCCGUUGAAACUGGCGAACUGGAGUGUGGCAGAGGGGGGUGGAAUUCCGCGUGUAGCAGUGAAAUGCGUAGAGAUGCGGAGGAACACCGAUGGCGAAGGCAGCCCCCUGGGCUAACACUGACGCUCAGGCACGAAAGCGUGGGGAGCAAACAGA